RNAcentral lists this small nucleolar RNA (129 nucleotides) under Oryza meridionalis. RNAcentral describes it as "Small nucleolar RNA Z206". It matches the Rfam family "Small nucleolar RNA Z206". From Rfam's summary of the family: Z206 is a member of the C/D class of snoRNA which contain the C (UGAUGA) and D (CUGA) box motifs. Lineage: Eukaryota; Viridiplantae; Streptophyta; Magnoliopsida; Poales; Poaceae. The record is from Rfam by way of RNAcentral.
GCAGCCGGAUGAGGUCAAGGUGAGCGCGACGGUGCGCCCGUCGACGGCGCUAUUGGGCGGCACCGACGACGCGGUGCAAGGAGGAGCACCUCAGAUGGUCGACGGGGUGAUGUGGUUCCGACCGGCGGC